RNAcentral lists this ribosomal RNA (479 nucleotides) under uncultured bacterium. RNAcentral's name for it is "partial 16S ribosomal RNA". It matches the Rfam family "Bacterial small subunit ribosomal RNA", at positions 28 to 507 of the family's 1533-position model. The record is from RNAcentral.
GAUGAACGCUAGCGGGAGGCUUAACACAUGCAAGCCGAGGGGUAUAGUUCUUUCGGGAACUAGAGGCCGGCGCACGGGUGCGUAACGCGUAUGCAACUUGCCCUACCGAAAAGGAUAGCCCUUCGAAAGGAGGAUUAAUACUUUAUAACAGAUUUAAUGGCAUCAUUAGAUUUUGAAAGAUUUAUCGCAGUAGGAUAGGCAUGCGUAAGAUUAGUUAGUUGGUGAGGUAACGGCUCACCAAGACGAUGAUCUUUAGGGGGCCUGAGAGGGUGAACCCCCACACUGGUACUGAGACACGGACCAGACUCCUACGGGAGGCAGCAGUGAGGAAUAUUGAACAAUGGGUGGAAGCCUGAUCCAGCCAUCCCGCGUGUAGGAUGACGGCCUUAUGGGUUGUAAACUACUUUUAUCUGGGGAUAAACCUACUUACGUGUAAGUAGCUGAAGGUACCAGAAGAAUAAGCACCGGCUAACUCCGUG